Molecule: ribosomal RNA, 387 nt
Filed under: uncultured bacterium
Lineage: Bacteria
Description: bacterial SSU rRNA
Rfam family: Bacterial small subunit ribosomal RNA
Source: RNAcentral
ACUCCUACGGGAGGCAGCAGUGGGGAAUAUUGCACAAUGGGGGAAACCCUGAUGCAGCCAUGCCGCGUGUGUGAAGAAGGCCUUCGGUUGUAAAGCACUUUCAGUAGGGAGGAAGGUAGUGUAGUUAACACCUGCAUUAUUUGUACGUUACCUACAGAAGAAGCACCGGCUAACUCCGUGCCAGCAGCCGCGGUAAUACGGAGGGUGCGAGCGUUAAUCGGAAUUACUGGGCGUAAAGCGCAUGCAGGCGGCCUGUUAAGUCAGAUGUGAAAGCCCGGGGUCUUAACCUCGGAAUUGCAUUUGAAACUGGCAGGCUAGAGUCUUGUAGAGGGGUUAGGAAUUUCAGGUGUAGCGGUGAAAUGCGUAGAGAUCUGAAGGAAUACCAGU